This 249-nucleotide ribosomal RNA is filed under the name uncultured bacterium. RNAcentral's name for it is "partial 16S ribosomal RNA". It matches the Rfam family "Bacterial small subunit ribosomal RNA", at positions 524 to 771 of the family's 1533-position model. The record is from RNAcentral.
UACGGAGGGUGCAAGCGUUAUCCGGAUUCACUGGGUUUAAAGGGGGCGCAGGCGGGGCUGUAAGUCAGUGGUGAAAUACCUGAGCUUAACUCGGGAACUGCCAUUGAUACUAUAGCCCUUGAAUGCCGUUGAGGUCUGCGGAAUGGGUCAUGUAGCGGUGAAAUGGCAUAGAUAUGACCCGGAACACCAAUUGCGAAGGCAGCAGGCUAAACGGAAAUUGACGCUGAGGCCCGAAAGCGUGGGGAUCAA